UUCGUCCUACGGGACGCAGCAGUGGGGAAUAUUGGGCAAUGGGCGCAAGCCUGACCCAGCAACGCCGCGUGAAGGAAGAAGGCUUUCGGGUUGUAAACUUCUUUUCUCAGGGACGAAGAAAGUGACGGUACCUGAGGAAUAAGCCACGGCUAACUACGUGCCAGCAGCCGCGGUAAUACGUAGGUGGCAAGCGUUAUCCGGAUUUAUUGGGCGUAAAGGGCGUGUAGGCGG
RNAcentral lists this ribosomal RNA (231 nucleotides) under uncultured bacterium. RNAcentral's name for it is "partial 16S ribosomal RNA". It matches the Rfam family "Bacterial small subunit ribosomal RNA", at positions 333 to 578 of the family's 1533-position model. The record is from RNAcentral.